This 406-nucleotide ribosomal RNA is filed under the name uncultured bacterium. Its description in RNAcentral is "partial 16S ribosomal RNA". It matches the Rfam family "Bacterial small subunit ribosomal RNA", at positions 30 to 526 of the family's 1533-position model. The record is from RNAcentral.
AUUGAACGCUGGCGGCAGGCCUAACACAUGCAAGUCGAACGAGUGGCGGACGGGUGAGUAAUGUGUGGGAAACUGCCUGUUGGAGGGGGAUAACCACUGGGAAAGGUAGCUAAUUCCGCAUACCCUCGGAUGUGCCCAGAUGGGAUUGUCUAGUGGGUGGGGUAAGGGCUCACUUAGGCGACGAUCCCUAGCUGGUCUGAGAGGAUGACCAGCAACACUGGAACGGAGACACGGUCCGGACUCCUACGGGAGGCAGCAGUGGGAAAUAUUGCACAAUGGGCUCAAGCCUGAUGCAGCCAUGCCGGGUGGAUGAAGAAGGCCUUCGGGUUGUAAAGUACUUUCAGCGGGGCGGCGUUACCCGCAGAAGAAGCACCGGCUAACUCCGUGCCAGCAGCCGCGGUAAUAC